Non-coding RNA from Vicia faba (fava bean), 205 nucleotides. Lineage: Eukaryota; Viridiplantae; Streptophyta; Magnoliopsida; Fabales; Fabaceae. The record is from the annotation of a GenBank genome assembly.
UCUACCAUCACUUUAUGGUAUUCAAAUCAACCUACAAAUUCAUGUUUUUCACACCAUUCAUUCUUACUCAAACAAAUUCACAAACACAUGGUGCUCAAAAUCUAACGCUACUUUGAACCAAUUCAACACUUCCAAAACAAGUUCACGACACAAUCAACACAAAGCAACAAGACUUGAAAAUCUAAACAGAACAACAAAAGAGUAG